Molecule: ribosomal RNA, 403 nt
Filed under: Verrucomicrobiota bacterium
Lineage: Bacteria; Pseudomonadati; Verrucomicrobiota
Description: Verrucomicrobia bacterium partial 16S ribosomal RNA
Rfam family: Bacterial small subunit ribosomal RNA
Source: RNAcentral
UGGGGAAUAUUGCACAAUGGGGGAAACCCUGAUGCAGCGACGCCGCGUGAGCGAAGAAGGUUUUCGAAUCGUAAAGCUCUGUCCUAUGAGAAGAUAAUGACGGUAUCAUAGGAGGAAGCCCCGGCUAAAUACGUGCCAGCAGCCGCGGUAAUACGUAUGGGGCGAGCGUUGUCCGGAAUUAUUGGGCGUAAAGGGUACGUAGGCGGUCUAUUAAGUCAGGUGUGAAAGCGUGAAGCUUAACCUCAUUAAGCACUUGAAACUGAUAGACUUGAGUGAAGGAGAGGAAAGUGGAAUUCCUAGUGUAGCGGUGAAAUGCGUAGAUAUUAGGAGGAAUACCGGUGGCGAAGGCGACUUUCUGGACUUUUACUGACGCUCAGGUACGAAAGCGUGGGGAGCAAACAGG